This 253-nucleotide ribosomal RNA is filed under the name uncultured bacterium. RNAcentral describes it as "partial 16S ribosomal RNA". It matches the Rfam family "Bacterial small subunit ribosomal RNA", at positions 524 to 776 of the family's 1533-position model. The record is from RNAcentral.
UACGAAGGGUGCGAGCGUUGUUCGGAAUUACUGGGCGUAAAGGGUUUGUAGGCAGAAAUGUAAGUCAAGUGUGAAAUCCCCGAGCUAAACUUGGGACGUGCAUUUGAAACUGUGUUUCUUGAGUAUCGUAGAGGGUGGUGGAAUUGUAGGUGUAGGAGUGACAUCCGUAGAGAUCUGCAGGAACAUCAGAGGCGAAGGCGACCACCUGGCCGAUUACUGACGCUGAGGAACGAAAGCGUGGGGAGCAAACAGG